GAUGAAGAACGUAGCGAAAUGCGAUACUUGGUGUGAAUUGCAGAAUCCCGUGAACCAUCGAGUCUUUGAACGCAAGUUGCGCCCGAAGCCAUUAGGCCGAGGGCACGCCUGCCUGGGCGUCACACGUCGUUGCCCCCCCAUCUACUCCUUCGGGAUUGCGGGGGGCGGAUGAUGGCCUCCCGUGCGCCUCGCCGCGCGGUUGGCAUAAAUGCCAAGUCCUCGGCGACGCACGCCACGACAAUCGGUGGUUGCGAAACCUCGGUUGCCCGUCGUGUGCGGUCGUCGCGCAUCGAGGGCUCGAAAAAAUUGCCGGGUUCCGGCUCGGCUUUCAACGCGACCCCAGGUCAGGCGGGUUACCCGCUGAAUUUAAGCAUAUCAAUAAGCGGAGGA
This 390-nucleotide unclassified non-coding RNA is filed under the name soil metagenome. RNAcentral's name for it is "partial contains 5.8S ribosomal RNA, internal transcribed spacer 2, and large subunit ribosomal RNA". The stretch from base 1 to 122 matches the Rfam family "5.8S ribosomal RNA", at positions 35 to 154 of the family's 154-position model. The record is from RNAcentral.